GAUGAACGCUAGCGGUGUGCCUAAGGCAUGCAAGUCGAACGGGAUCCUUUGGAUUCGUCUGAAGGUGAGAGUGGCGAACGGGUGAGUAACACGUAGGUGACCUGCCCCGGAGAGGGGGACAACCACUGGAAACGGUGGCUAAUACCCCAGAUGUUAUUGCGCUUAGAAAGCAAUUACUAAAGUUCCGGCGCUCCGGGAGGGGCCUGCGGCCCAUCAGCUUGUUGGUAAGGUAAUGGCUUACCAAGGCUAAGACGGGUAGGGGGCGUGAGAGCGUGACCCCCCACACUGGUACUGAGACACGGACCAGAUACCUGCGGGUAGCAGCAGCAAGGAAUAUUGCCCAAUAGGACGAAAGUCUGAGGCAGCAACACCGCGUGGAGGAUGAAGGCC
RNAcentral lists this ribosomal RNA (390 nucleotides) under uncultured bacterium. RNAcentral describes it as "bacterial SSU rRNA". It matches the Rfam family "Bacterial small subunit ribosomal RNA", at positions 28 to 416 of the family's 1533-position model. The record is from RNAcentral.